GGGCAGCCCCGCCCCCUUUACUAGAACCACAGCCCCCAGGGCAGGACUGCCCCAGCCUGUGCACACUGUCCAAGACCCGGGGACAGCUCCCAGCACACAGCAGGAGCCUCAAAAACCCGCGAAUGAAGAAGCGACCAAGGGCCCCACCCAUCCCUAGAGCCCUGCUGACCUCCUGCUGCUGACCCGGCCUGACGCUCACCCAGCAGCCAACCCUGCCCAGCCUGGGUACCCUGGCAGCCCCUGAGCACCUGGGACCUGCUCCUUGGGUGUUCACAGGGGUGAAGUGAGGCACCGCCAAGCUUCUAGAGCUGGCACCUGACCCUGGCUGCACGGCCUCACCGAGGACAUCUUUCCUGUGUAGAAAGGAGACUUUGCGCAUGACAGCCAUCCGCGUCUUCUCCAGGCCGUCCUUGGUCCCGCUCUUGGCGGCCUUCAUGAGCUGGGUCAUCUGAGCAAAGGCAGAGUGGCUCAUCAGAGAGGCCGAGGACCUGGACACCUGCCGCCAAGGGCUGCCAGUCCCACUGGACCUCAGCCUGGCUGCAGACAUCAGGACCACCCGACCACCACUCCCGGGUGCCGAAUUAAGGAGUGCACACCUGUAAUUCCAGCUACCUGCGAGGCUAAGACAGCCCGGAGGCAGCGGCCAGACCCACCCACCAGGGUCAGCAAGACCAAGCAGCCGGCUGGGCAGGCCCUGCAGAGCUGACCCGCCACGCAGGCACGGGCUUGCUGCAGGGGCCACCGGGAAGAGGUGCACACAGGUGCAGUGAUGGCAGAACGACGGCUGCCCCCAGGGUGCGAGGGACAGUCAGCCUGAGGUACAUGAGGGGACAGCGGUGGCCGCCACCCACUGCUCUCUUGGAGCCGAGCACCCCACAGACCUGAUCACCGGGGGCCACUCCUCCCGACACCCGGCUCACAGGCAAGAAACCCAAGUCCAGAGGGGCCAUGAGGCCUGCCAGGACCACAGAGAGAGAAAGUGGCAGGACCUCGAAAGCCAGUGAUGGCCACCAGGCCACACAGUGAGCCUCACUCGAGAGCAGCUACUAACACGAUGUCACCUAGAAGCCCAGGUCUUGCCUGAGGGGGCUGCAGCUUCUCCCACAGACUUCCUCCCCCUGGGCCUCUCGGAGCAUCCUGGAGGGGCGGUCCAAUGUCACCCGCUAGAUUCCUCCAGGUGUAACCCAGCCCGCCCUCCGUGGUCACUGAGUACUGCAGAACCAGCACCAGGCCAAACUCGGGAGUGUGUGUUUUAACCAAAGGCCUCGGGUGAGUCUGGGAGUCUGCAAACCUCCCGGGUUCCUGUGGGCAUUAGCAUCUCAGGUGAAGAAGGGAAGGUGCAGCAGAGUCGCAGAGGGACGGCUGGCUUCGGGCACUGCCCCUCGCAGGGCAGGUGGAAUGCAGCCAGGCGCCAGGGCUGGUGCAGCGGAAAGGCUCCAUGGGUGGCCGCAGCUCAUGAGGGCCCCUCCGGCCGGGGCGGGGCGGACGGACGGACGGACAGUACCUUACAAUCGUACUUGUGCUUCAGCUCCUGCAUGUCUCUCCCCCCAACUCUUAAAGCCAAGAUGUCCCUCUUAGUCCUGGCGUAUCUCUCCUUUAGCCUAGUCAGGUCUGGAGACAGCUGGAGCGCAAGCGGCAGGCAGAGGAAAGCAGGCGGGAGGAGCAGGCGGAACAGGAGGGACAAACAGACACAGGAGAGAGGAGACUCAGUCAAGUGAGGCGGACAAAGGGCAGGCGGGACAGCACCCCGUGGGCAGCUGGGUCGGUCCCGCUGGGGUCUGCCCAGCAGCGUCCAGGCCAAUGUGCUGGGGUCUCUGUGCAGGGGGUCCGGCCGCUGGGGAGCAAGGCAGGGCGGGAACGAGGCCAGGUUCCCCUCUCUGGGGAAGGGGACUGUUCCGGGGACCAGGGCAUCUCCCCCAGCCCGGGCCCGUGUAGGGCUUGUAACUAGAGGUUCCUGGCACAUUCGUGAGGAGGACCUAACGGCAGGGCAGGAGCGUCAGUGGACACGUAGGCCAAAGCACAGAAAGAUGGAUGAGUGGGCAGGGGGUGGCUGGACAGAUGGGUGGACGACAGACAGACACUGGGUAGAUGAUGAAUGGACAGGCCAUCGGAUGGGUUUGGUCUGGUGACUGUACAGCUGGGCAAGUGGAGAGAUGGACAGAGGAGGUCAGCAGAGGAUGUGAACAGGUGGAUGGAGACAUGGCCGAGCGCGCUGGGCAGUGCCUAACAGCCAGCUCUCCAGGAAGAAGAGCCCUGUGGGCGGCACUGCACUUGAGUACCCUCCCACCUGGGCCAACUGACUUCCACAGCGACCGAGAACGUGGGCUGAACCGAGAUGCGGCUGCGGUGCGGGAGUUCCCAUGAGCAGCACUGCAGCCCCGCAGCCCUGCAGGAUGCCGGCUGCACAGGAGGGCAGGCGACGGGCGGGCGGGGACUGGCUUACGGACACCCCCCAUGAUGAUGGACAGAAAGGGAGACGCACAUUCAAAUGCGUGAGCUGUGUAAGCAAGAGGGACACUAAGUACAGUACACAGAAGACCAACACGGAUAACGGACACGUAGAAGGUUCUAGAAUGUGAGCUCUGGGGGCCGCAGGUCUACAUGCAAAUUGUGGCUCCCACUUGCUGGCUGGAAAAGUCUCUUUCCCUCUCCGAGUUGCAGCUUGUGUGCUGGUAAAAUGCACAUAAGAGGCCAUGAGAACAGCCCACUGGGCCGUGGGGUCAUUGAGAUAAUAGCUCACAGAGAAAAUUAAGUGUAAAGCCCAAAAUUUAGUAAGUAGCCAGAAACCAAAUGCCAAUAUUAUUCUAUUUUUAAAAUUAUGAGUGAUCAGUGUUUGUUAAGUGGAUGGGAGGAUAGAUGGAUGGACAGAUGGGUGGAUGGGUGGAUGAAGAGAUGGACAGAGAGAUGGCUGAGGUGUUUUAUCCAUAUGUGAUGCUGAGUUUUGGCUCUACCAUUUACUGGCUGUGUGACCCGAAGCCCAUCACUAACCUCUCUGAGCUUAAGUCACAUAGGUUUUCUGAACAACAAAAUGAGAAUCUUCAUAAUAGUGACCACCCUAGGGUAGUAGGAAAAAUCUAGUGGAACUGCUUUUGAACUGUACCGCACUGGGUAAAUGGUCUCUAUUAUACAAGUAUUAGGACAGGGAUCCUGUGACAGUGA
Ictidomys tridecemlineatus (thirteen-lined ground squirrel) is the source of this 3159-nucleotide non-coding RNA. The record is from RefSeq and is a predicted model, not a curated record. Lineage: Eukaryota; Metazoa; Chordata; Mammalia; Rodentia; Sciuridae.